CAUGUCUUUUUGAUUAUAAUUUAAAGUCUGACCUGCCCUAUGAAUAAUUUUUAAAUGGCUGCGGUACUCUGACCGUGCAAAGGUAGCAUAAUAAUUAGUUUUUUAAUUGGGAACUGGUAUGAAAGGUCGAACGAGAAAAAGACUGUCUCAAUUUAAUUUAAAUUAGAAUUUUAUUUUUAAGUUAAAAAGCUUAAAUAUUUUUAAAAGACGAGAAGACCCUAUAGAGUUUUAUAUAAUUUAAUAUUUUUGAAAGUUAAAGAAUUUUAUAUUUAAUUAUUUUAAAUUAUAUUUGGUUGGGGCAAUUAAAAAAUUAAAGGAAUUUUUUUUAAAUUAUUACAUUGAUAUAUGAUUAAGUGAUCCAUAUUUUAUGAUUAAAAGAUUAAAUUACCUUAGGGAUAACAGCGUAAUUUUUUUUAGAGUUCUUAUCGAAAAAAGAGUUUGCGACC
RNAcentral lists this ribosomal RNA (446 nucleotides) under Phanaeus demon. Its description in RNAcentral is "partial 16S ribosomal RNA". The record is from RNAcentral. Lineage: Eukaryota; Metazoa; Arthropoda; Insecta; Coleoptera; Scarabaeidae.